Brachypodium distachyon (stiff brome) is the source of this 732-nucleotide long non-coding RNA. RefSeq lists it as uncharacterized. The transcript is spliced from 3 exons. Lineage: Eukaryota; Viridiplantae; Streptophyta; Magnoliopsida; Poales; Poaceae. The record is from RefSeq and is a predicted model, not a curated record.
ACGAGGUCUGCCUGCUGCUCUAGGUGCAACACCGGAACCUUGUCUCCCUGCUCGGCUGCUGCGCGGCUACCGGUGACAAGAUGCUCGUCUACCCAUUAUUCUCCGACGACACAGCGUCGACCAAACCACAUCCUCUUCGGGAGCAAUUACAAAGAGGAUGACAGCAAUUGAGGAGCUGGCUGGCAUGGAUGUUCUUUACAGUGAGAAGACAGGGACACCUAGCACUAACCUUGAACAAGUUGAUUGUGGACAAGAAUCUUAUAGAGGUUAGGCUUCUGAUAUUAACUGAAAAUCAGGUUGAUAUAGAUGCCACGAUGGUCGGUGUGCUUGCAGUUCCCAAGGAAGUAUAUUCAACAUCAUUAAUGUUUGUGAUAUAUAUUGAAAACUAAUUUCAGGCACUAAUUCGAAAACUGCUACUAAUGGGUUAGUCAUAUGGGGGUGGUCACAAAAGGAGAAUCGAGCUACUCGUAAUUAUCUUUCUAAUGGAUUUCAUAUUGCAUAAUUCUGAUGAAUGGCUUGCAAGUUAUUGCUGAAAUAGUGUUACUGUUCUAGGAGCACUAGCUGGAGCAUAUUUUCCUUUUCACCUAUUCUUGGUCCCUCAUCAUCUUCCUCAAUUUGUUUUUAAUUUUGCCCUGAAGGCAAGCUUGUCAGGCCUCUCAGGCUGUCUUUUUGUUGUCAGCAAGUGAAGAUGAUACCAAUAAGAGCAGGCACAGUUUCUUUCCUUUUUCUUUA